This 449-nucleotide ribosomal RNA is filed under the name uncultured bacterium. RNAcentral describes it as "partial 16S ribosomal RNA". It matches the Rfam family "Bacterial small subunit ribosomal RNA", at positions 29 to 523 of the family's 1533-position model. The record is from RNAcentral.
AACGAACGCUGGCGGCAUGCCUAACACAUGCAAGUCGAACGAGACCUUCGGGUCUAGUGGCGCACGGGUGCGUAACGCGUGGGAAUCUACCCUUGGGUUCGGAAUAACAGUUAGAAAUGACUGCUAAUACCGGAUGAUGACGUAAGUCCAAAGAUUUAUCGCCCAAGGAUGAGCCCGCGUAAGAUUAGCUUGUUGGUGGGGUAAUGGCCUACCAAGGCGACGAUCUUUAGCUGGUCUGAGAGGAUGAUCAGCCACACUGGGACUGAGACACGGCGCAGACUCCUACGGGAGGCAGCAGUGGGAAAUAUUGGACAAUGGGCGAAAGCCUGAUCCAGCAAUGCCGCGUGAGUGAUGAAGGCCUUAGGGUUGUAAAGCUCUUUUACCAGGGAUGAUAAUGACAGUACCUGGAGAAUAAGCUCCGGCUAACUCCGUGCCAGCAGCCGCAGUAA